Molecule: ribosomal RNA, 253 nt
Filed under: uncultured bacterium
Lineage: Bacteria
Description: partial 16S ribosomal RNA
Rfam family: Bacterial small subunit ribosomal RNA
Source: RNAcentral
UACGGAGGGUGCAAGCGUUAUCCGGAUUUACUGGGUUUAAAGGGUGCGCAGGCGGAUAUGUAAGUCAGUGGUGAAAUCUCCGGGCUUAACCCGGAAACUGCCGUUGAUACUAUAUAUCUUGAAUGCUGUGGAGGUAAGCAGAAUAUGUCAUGUAGCGGUGAAAUGCUUAGAUAUGACAUAGAACACCAAUUGCGAAGGCAGCUCACUACACGAAUAUUGACACUGAGGCACGAAAGCGUGGGGAUCAAACAGG